Molecule: transfer RNA, 74 nt
Filed under: compost metagenome
Description: tRNA-Glu
Rfam family: tRNA
About the family: Transfer RNA (tRNA) molecules are approximately 80 nucleotides in length. Their secondary structure includes four short double-helical elements and three loops (D, anti-codon, and T loops). Further hydrogen bonds mediate the characteristic L-shaped molecular structure. tRNAs have two regions of fundamental functional importance: the anti-codon, which is responsible for specific mRNA codon recognition, and the 3' end, to which the tRNAs corresponding amino acid is attached (by aminoacyl-tRNA synthetases). tRNAs cope with the degeneracy of the genetic code in two manners: having more than one tRNA (with a specific anti-codon) for a particular amino acid; and 'wobble' base-pairing, i.e. permitting non-standard base-pairing at the 3rd anti-codon position.
Source: RNAcentral
UGGCGUGUUAGGCAAGCGGUGAAGCCACAGGACUUUCAAUCCUGCAACACGAGUUCAAAUCUCGUACACGUCAU